GCCUGCCCAGUGACUGAGUGUUUAACGGCCGCGGUAUCCUAACCGUGCAAAGGUAGCGCAAUCAAUUGCCUCAUAAAUCGAGGCUAGUAUGAAUGGCUAAACGAGGUCUUAACUGUCUCUUACAGGCAAUCGGUGAAAUUGAUCUCCCUGUGCAAAAGCAGGGAUAAACACAUAAGACGAGAAGACCCUGUGGAACUUUAAAAUCAACAACCACCCUAAAACGCAUUCACGCCUACUGGGCUCACGAACCUACAAAGGAGAUGGUCUGUAUUUUUCGGUUGGGGCGACCUUGGAGAAAAACAAAUCCUCCAAAUAUUGGACCAUAACUCUAGACUAAGAGCUACUACUCGAAGUGCUAAUAGCAACCAGACCCAAUAUAAUUGAUCAAUGGACCAAGCUACCCCAGGGAUAACAGCGCAAUCUCCUCCGAGAGUCCGUAUCGACGGGGAGGUUUACGACCUCGAUGUUGGAUCAGGACAUCCUAGUGGUGCAGCAGCUACUAAGGGUUCGUUUGUUCAACGAUUAA
This 526-nucleotide ribosomal RNA is filed under the name Dryoscopus gambensis. Its description in RNAcentral is "partial 16S ribosomal RNA". It matches the Rfam family "Bacterial large subunit ribosomal RNA", at positions 1857 to 2591 of the family's 2925-position model. The record is from RNAcentral. Lineage: Eukaryota; Metazoa; Chordata; Aves; Passeriformes; Malaconotidae.